This 3551-nucleotide unclassified non-coding RNA is filed under the name Stegodyphus dumicola. RNAcentral's name for it is "protein snail homolog Sna-like, transcript variant X1". Lineage: Eukaryota; Metazoa; Arthropoda; Arachnida; Araneae; Eresidae. The record is from RNAcentral.
ACACGGUCGAUUAACUGUGUUCCCAACCCGAAUGUAAUUCACGUGCUCUGUGUCGUGCGAAUUGUAAUCACUUUGAUCGUCUCCGCCGUGUAGCACCAUGCCGCGUGCUUUCCUCAUCAAAAAGAAACAGCAGUGUGCCCGGAGUGGAAUACCUCUGUCCAGGGCGAAUUGGUCAGAUGAAGAUACUAAUGAUGCUGGCAUUAUGGAUAAUUCGAGCUUCCAACCUCAGUUUGUACCUCUUACCGUUGUGUCAACAGAUACGAAAGGCCCUUUUGACUUAAGUAUGAAACCGAAAACGCUUGACGAAAAUUCCAGUGAUAGUGAAAUGCUACGUGUGUCUCCCAAGCCAACGGUGGACCAUUCUCCUCAUCCUCCAGCAACAAUCAUUGCACCUAAACCAAUAAAGCCGACUCCAAAGACAGCAGAGGAAAUGGCUGCUACCAGACCCCAUUGGCAGCGGCAAAUGAUGCAAUCGUAUCUUCCAUUAAACUACCCAAUUUACUCAUAUCCUCGAAGGCCAACUGAAGUCUAUCCUUAUAACAGUGGUUACACUCACAGUCAGAAUACCUUAGUGCCUCCACCACUAGUGCCUUUAAGUUCAGCGUCUGCCAAUUCCGAUAGAUAUUCUCCUUCUAGAGAAAGAUACGAGGUUGUACCACAUAGGAAUGUGUCCCCAACUAUGCUUGCGUCAGGUAGUCCGUCGCCUCCAUCUGUUUAUCUCGGCUGGUAUUCCGAUGGACAAGAUUCUGGACUUGCAUCUUCGCCCAGUCCCAGUUCUGAAGACGGUGAGAUGAUAUCAAAAGCGAACCCUACCCGCUACCAAUGUCCGGACUGUAAUAAAAGCUAUUCUACUUACAGUGGACUAUCUAAGCAUCGGUUGAUGCAUUGCGCCACACAUGCCAAGAAAUCUUUCUGUUGCAAAUACUGUGACAAAGUUUACGUAUCUUUAGGAGCCCUUAAGAUGCAUAUCAGGACGCACACUUUGCCUUGUAAAUGCAAACUGUGCGGAAAGGCCUUUUCUCGUCCUUGGCUGUUACAAGGGCAUAUUCGCACCCACACGGGCGAGAAACCUUUCUCGUGUCAACAUUGUAGCAGGGCAUUCGCGGACAGGUCUAACCUCAGGGCUCACCUUCAGACACAUUCAGAAGUCAAGAAAUACAGAUGCAAGACGUGUAGCAAAACCUUCUCUAGAAUGUCCUUAUUGCUCAAGCACGAAGACGGUGGUUGCGCGGGUGUUGUGCCUCAACAGCAAACGCCUGCCAAUUAAAGAGACUCCAUGAAAUAUAGAAUGAAAAAUGCAUGCCAAGUGAUUGUAGUAAUCAUUGUUCAGUUUAUCUUUGAAACUAGAAUCUCUAUUAAGGAAUUUUUAUUAUUAAAAUAUUCACCCAUAUUUUGUAACUGGUAUUUGAAAUGGAAUGUUAUGGAUGUAAAAUCCUUGUUUGAUAGUCUAAAAGUUUUGUAAAUUGUUUCUAUUUGCUCCAUUCUUGUUUAUAAUUUAAAAAAUGUAAUUAUAAUGAGCAAGCUGCGAAACCUUUAAAUCGGUAUCAAAGUCUAACGAGUUCUUAACAAUAUUAAAUCAUAUGCUAUCUCUACAUAAUAAUAUUAUAAUAUAUUUUCUAAAUUCCUAUCUAUGAAAAUUAAAUUCUUUCUUCCAUUACGUGAAUUUCCACUAAUUUCCAUUUCAAAUGAAUAACUAGUUUAUUAUUAUUAUUAUUAUUAUUAUUAUUUUGAGUGGAAUAUAUAUUUAUAUGUAAAUUGAUUUGAUUUAUUAUAUUGCACAUUUUGUAGAGCAUUUAGAUUGUGAAUUAUUUUUAAUAGGUUUUUGAAAAGAAAAUUUCAAAAUGUGCGAGAAUUUAUGAUGCAUGCUUGUUUGAAUGAAUGGUUAGAAUUAUGUUUAUAUCAAAUGUGAGAUACUACUAGUCUUUAUAGCUAGAAUUAGGAAGACAUUUCAGAAUAAUGCAUUUGAAUCUGCCAUAUUUAAGUAUUCUGUUAGCCUUAUUUUUUGUUUCUCCAAGCCAAAUUACUUUUUCAUGGACAGCAGAAUGAUUCAAUGUUUAAGCUUUAAAAAUGUCAACUUAAUUCAUCAAAAAUGUUAAAUAUAUGUAAAAUUUUGAUAAUGCAUUAUGUAAUUAAUAUUAUUAUAAUUUUAAAUUAACUCUUUGGUAGGCGAUUGUCAACAGUGUUUCAAGUGCAUACAUGUUAGUAUAUAACAAGAUGAAGUACUGCCUAUGAGAAAUGAGAGAAAAGUGUUGAACAUUUUGUGUUUGAAUCAUAUUUCCAAGGAAAAAUUACAUUAAAAAAAUUUUGUUUUAAUAUUAAGCUAAAGAAGCAAAAAAAUAAGUACGAAUAUAAUUUACUUUGUUUAAAAUGCUUUUCCAAAAACCAUAUUAAUUUAAUAAAAAUUGCCCAGGCAUUUAAAAAAAUGUUUUAAAUCAAUUUAUCCUAUUAUUUAAUUUCCGUAAUAAAAUAAACAUACUUAUUUUUUACCACAAGGCUGUUAUUUUUAGAGCAUUUAAGUUUUAAUGAAACUGUUUCGACUUUUAUCUUAAAUGCAAGUUGUUUUAUUUUCCCUUGAAAAACGCAUUGUCUUAUAUGCAUUUUACAGUACUCCAAUCAAUACUGCACUUUAAAUUAUAUUAGCAGAAUCAAAUACCAGUUCAACUUUUCACGCAGAAGUAAGAUACAAAUUUCCUUUAAAAAUGAUACAAAAUGCCUUUAACAGCUUUCUGUGUAAUCAGGUUUGUUGAAGGAAACCUUAAGUUUCCCAUAAGUUGAGCUUCUGCUUAUUUUUAUUUUUUAAAAUAAAAGCAAAUCGCGUUCAUAAUGAAUAGCAUGAAAAGUGGAAAGAAAUUGUAUUAAAAUGAAUCGAAGUUUUCCCAGCAGGGGGGGGGGAAUGCUUUGGAGCGAGAGGACAGCCAUCCAGGCCCGUCUUCCAUAAAGCAUUUAUCUGUAUGCUAAUCCUCUUGCUCUACCCACCUGUUCCAGUUUUCCUGCCACCAGUAGCGUCGGAAGGUCGUUGAUGUGUUGUUUGUGGUCCAGGAGGCGUCACCGAUCUGCCUUGCACCUGUUGCCCAGGAAUGUUCCAACGAAGGUGGUUCAAGGUUCAGCCACCGACUUGUUGUCUUUGACUUUUCUUUAAUUAAGAUUCCCUGCAGCAAUGCAGGUUUUCAUUUUCCCCUCUUGUAACUUUCUUCCCGAGCACAGUGACCUAAAUCAGCCGACUUAAAGAUAAAAUUGAAAAAUUAACUUGAAACUUCUCACCUGGCGUCAAAUAGUUUAAGGUUACACUGAACACUGUCUUAAAAAGAUUAACGAUAUUGGUCUUCUGUGGAGGUGGUCAUUUUAGAGAAAUGAUGUACAGCACUGAUCUUCGGUCAUCGCCGCAGGGUUCACUGUGCAUCAUAAAUAUUUAUAUUCUAGAAAAUAUCACUAUAAUAAAACAGUAAUAAUUACAAAUGUUGUUACUACCGCUACCAGUUUUGUGCAUCAAGUCGCAAUAAACUUUAUAAUAGACUGUUUCAUUUCCUUGUAUGCAAAAUUACAGGAAAACC